RNAcentral lists this transfer RNA (73 nucleotides) under Sphaerobolus stellatus SS14. RNAcentral describes it as "tRNA-Ala (TGC) (tRNA-Ala-TGC-8-1)". The record is from RNAcentral. Lineage: Eukaryota; Fungi; Basidiomycota; Agaricomycetes; Geastrales; Sphaerobolaceae.
GGGGGCGUGGCGUAGGGGUUAUCACGCUUCAUUUGCAUUGAAGAGGUCACGAGUAUAAUUCUCGUCUUCUCCA